GUGAAAUGCGUAGAUAUCUGCAGGAACACCCGUGGCGAAGGCGGCUGGCUGGACCACAACUGACGCUGAGGAACGAAAGCUAGGGGAGCAAACAGGAUUAGAUACCCUGGUAGUCCUAGCCCUAAACCAUCAGGACUUGGGGUGGCCCGCGUAGGCGGGUCGUCCCGUAGCUAACGCGUUAAGUCCUGCGCCUGGGGAGUACGGUCGCAAGACUGAAACUCAAAGGAAUUGACGGGGGCCCGCACAAGCGGUGGAACAUGUGGUUCAAUUCGACGCAACGCGAAGAACCUUACCUGGGCUUGAACCGCUACUGACCAACGGUAGAAAUAUCGUCUUCCCGCAAGGGACAGUAGUAGAGGUGCUGCAUGGCUGUCGUCAGCUCGUGCCGUGAGGUGUUGGGUUAAGUCCCGCAACGAGCGCAACCCUUAUUCGUAGUUGCCACCCGCAAGGGGGAACUCUACGAGGACUGCUCCGGAUAACGGAGAGGAAGGUGGGGAUGACGUCAAGUCAGCACGGCCUUUAUGUCCAGGGCUACACACGUGUUACAAUGCGCGGCACAGACUGUUGCGAACCCGCGAGGGGGAGCUAAUCGGAAAAAACCGCGCUCAGUUCGGAUUGCAGUCUGCAACUCGACUGCAUGAAGCUGGAAUCGCUAGUAAUGGCGUAUCAGAUCGACGCCGUGAAUACGUUCCCGGGCCUUGUACACACCGCCCGUCACAUCACGAAAGUGAGCUGUACUAGAAGUCGCCCAGCCAACCGCAAGGAGGCAGGCGCCCAAGGUAUGGCCCAUGAUUGGGGUGAAGUCGUAACAAGGUAACCGU
This 821-nucleotide ribosomal RNA is filed under the name uncultured bacterium. Its description in RNAcentral is "bacterial SSU rRNA". It matches the Rfam family "Bacterial small subunit ribosomal RNA", at positions 681 to 1503 of the family's 1533-position model. The record is from RNAcentral.